This 277-nucleotide ribosomal RNA is filed under the name uncultured prokaryote. RNAcentral describes it as "partial 16S ribosomal RNA". It matches the Rfam family "Bacterial small subunit ribosomal RNA", at positions 524 to 800 of the family's 1533-position model. The record is from RNAcentral.
GACGUAGGAGGCGAGCGUUAUCCGGAUUUAUUGGGCGUAAAGGGCAAGUAGGCGGUUGUCAAAGUUGGGCGUGACAACUCCCGGCUCAACUGGGAGGGUGCGUUCAAAACUAGGCAACUAGAGGGCAGGAGAGGGAAGUGGAAUUCCCAGUGUAGCGGUGGAAUGCUCAGAUAUUGGGAAGAACACCAGUGGCGAAGGCGGCUUCCUGGCCUGCACCUGACGCUGAGAGGCGAAAGCUAGGGUAGCAAACGGGCUUAGAUACCCCUGUAGUCCCUGA